GACGAACGCUGGCGGCGUGCCUAAUACAUGCAAGUAGAACGCUGAAGAGAGGAGCUUGCUCUUCUUGGAUGAGUUGCGAACGGGUGAGUAACGCGUAGGUAACCUGCCUGGUAGCGGGGGAUAACUAUUGGAAACGAUAGCUAAUACCGCAUAAAAUGGAUUAUCGCAUGAUAAUCCAUUGAAAGAUGCAAAUGCAUCACUACCAGAUGGACCUGCGUUGUAUUAGCUAGUUGGUGGGGUAACGGCUCACCAAGGCGACGAUACAUAGCCGACCUGAGAGGGUGAUCGGCCACACUGGGACUGAGACACGGCCCAGACUCCUACGGGAGGCAGCAGUAGGGAAUCUUCGGCAAUGGACGGAAGUCUGACCGAGCAACGCCGCGUGAGUGAAGAAGGUUUUCGGAUCGUAAAGCUCUGUUGUAAGAGAAGAACGAGUGUGAGAGUGGAAAGUUCACACUGUGACGGUAUCUUACCAGAAAGGGACGGCUAACUACGUG
RNAcentral lists this ribosomal RNA (497 nucleotides) under uncultured bacterium. RNAcentral's name for it is "partial 16S ribosomal RNA". It matches the Rfam family "Bacterial small subunit ribosomal RNA", at positions 28 to 507 of the family's 1533-position model. The record is from RNAcentral.